RNAcentral lists this long non-coding RNA (618 nucleotides) under Hordeum vulgare. Its description in RNAcentral is "long non-coding RNA (HVUL_LNC016174)". The record is from RNAcentral. Lineage: Eukaryota; Viridiplantae; Streptophyta; Magnoliopsida; Poales; Poaceae.
UCGCUCUCACCUCAAGCCGCAAAGUAAGUUUUAUGGACCACUUCGGGUACUGUCUCACGUGGGCAAUGUGGCAUAUCACCUGCAGCUGCCAACGUGGGCAAUGUGGCAUAUCACCUGCAGCUGGAAACAUGGGCAUCCACCCAGUGUUCGAUAUCAGCCAGCUGAAGAAGCACAUAGGACCCAAUGCAGUUCCCUGUGCUGAUUUACCCUAGGUGAUCCUGAAGGGCGUAACAUGGAGAAUUUUGCACUGGAUGUUGCAACUUGGGAAGACGCAGAUUUCAUGAAGCGUACAUUCCCAGCCUUUUCCAAGAGAGUCAAAGCAUGGCGGCGUCAACCUUCAACUUCCUAAGGACAAGUCAUGCUCGCAAGGGGGCAUUCUCCGGCUGAACUUUCAAGGUAUUCCAGUCUAAAGUUAACUGUAUGGGUUCAGAUAAUGAACGACUGGCGAUCAAUGAUGGAGAAGAAGAUCGGACGGCUUGCAUUCGCUCACCGUCAACUCUAGCUUAUUUACUUUUCGCUGUUGCUUUUCUUACCUCUUUAUUCUCUCCUGUCAACCACGGCUGUAACAAAACAAUGUAUGCACUGCACGGGACAAGCCCCGAUCAAUCAAUAAAGCAC